This 315-nucleotide unclassified non-coding RNA is filed under the name fungal sp. RNAcentral's name for it is "partial internal transcribed spacer region". The stretch from base 1 to 46 matches the Rfam family "Eukaryotic small subunit ribosomal RNA", at positions 1786 to 1831 of the family's 1831-position model. Lineage: Eukaryota; Fungi. The record is from RNAcentral.
AAGUCGUAACAAGGUUUCCGUAGGUGAACCUGCGGAAGGAUCAUUAACAGUAUUCAUGGCAUGGUUCAGUUUUGGGCAUUGCUAUGCGCAGCAUGGCAAUGGGCAAAAGUGAAUCAUGGCACUCAUACACAAACCAAACAUUUUGUCACUACAGUUCUGACCUUUGGCUCACUUGACUGCAGUGGCAAACAUGGCUGAUGCGUCUUACAACAAUUUUGUUGUGGGGGGACCGCACACAAACACCUACUUAUUGCAAAACGUCUUAGUACAUAGUAAAAAUAUAUAACACUUUUAACAACGGAUCUCUUGGCUCUC